Molecule: ribosomal RNA, 169 nt
Filed under: uncultured bacterium
Lineage: Bacteria
Description: partial 16S ribosomal RNA
Rfam family: Bacterial small subunit ribosomal RNA
Source: RNAcentral
CCUACGGGAGGCAGCAGUCGGGAAUUUUGCGCAAUGGACGAAAGUCUGACGCAGCAACGCCGCGUGAGGGAUGACGGCCUUCGGGUUGUAAACCUCUUUUGUCAGGGACGAUGAUGACGGUACCUGACGAAUAAGCCACGGCUAACUACGUGCCAGCAGCCGCGGUAAU